Molecule: ribosomal RNA, 473 nt
Filed under: uncultured bacterium
Lineage: Bacteria
Description: bacterial SSU rRNA
Rfam family: Bacterial small subunit ribosomal RNA
Source: RNAcentral
AGUGAACGCUGGCGGCAGGCCUAACACAUGCAAGUCGAGCGGCAGCGCGUCCGACCACCCUCGGGUGGUCGGAUGGCGGCGAGCGGCGGACGGGUGAGGAAUGCAUCGGAAUCUGCCUCGUUGUGGGGGAUAACGUAGGGAAACUUACGCUAAUACCGCAUACGACCUACGGGUGAAAGUGGGGGACCUUCGGGCCUCACGCGAUGAGAUGAGCCGAUGCCGGAUUAGCUAGUUGGCGGGGUAAAGGCCCACCAAGGCGACGAUCCGUAGCUGGUCUGAGAGGAUGAUCAGCCACACUGGGACUGAGACACGGCCCAGACUCCUACGGGAGGCAGCAGUGGGGAAUCUUAGACAAUGGGCGCAAGCCUGAUCUAGCCAUGCCGCGUGCGCGAUGAAGGCCUUAGGGUUGUAAAGCUCUUUCAGUGGGGAAGAUAAUGACUGUACCCACAGAAGAAGCCCCGGCUAACUCCGUG